GAGGCAUCUCUCUAGCUCCAG
Molecule: microRNA, 21 nt
Filed under: Mus musculus (house mouse)
Lineage: Eukaryota; Metazoa; Chordata; Mammalia; Rodentia; Muridae
Description: microRNA 5104
Source: RNAcentral